Non-coding RNA from Pelobates cultripes (western spadefoot toad), 281 nucleotides. NCBI's taxonomy places the organism in Eukaryota, Metazoa, Chordata, Amphibia, Anura, Pelobatidae. The record is from the annotation of a GenBank genome assembly.
CUAGGUUCUUAAAAUCUUUGGCCCUCAUUCCCGGGGGGAGGCUCAAUUUCUUAGUAAGGGCAUCAUUGGGGAGGGGAGUCCGUAUUUCUGGGUGUAUCUAUCCCAGAUCAGUAUGGAGUUAAGGAUCGCAGGGCAUUUGGUGCGCAAGAUAGCUCUUGCCGAUGUAGAACUGUCUGACCCUGUCAAUCCCGCCUCCAGAUCUGCCCAUCUCCUCUCCCCCGGGGGCGCAUGCCACAUCGCUACCUGGGAGAGCUGUGCUGCCAGGUAAUAGUAAAAGAGAU